RNAcentral lists this ribosomal RNA (228 nucleotides) under uncultured bacterium. RNAcentral's name for it is "partial 16S ribosomal RNA". It matches the Rfam family "Bacterial small subunit ribosomal RNA", at positions 568 to 795 of the family's 1533-position model. The record is from RNAcentral.
UGCGUAGGCGGCGUUAUAAGUCAGAGGUGAAAGGCCACCGCUUAACGGUGGGACUGCCUUUGAUACUGUAGUGCUUGAAUAAGGUUGAGGUUAGCGGAAUGUGACAUGUAGCGGUGAAAUGCAUAGAUAUGUCAUAGAACACCAAUUGCGAAGGCAGCUGGCUAGACCUUUAUUGACGCUGAGGCACGAAAGCGUGGGGAGCGAACAGGAUUAGAUACCCUGGUAGUC